UACCGUUAUUGGCGAUAACCACAAUAUUUAAAAUGAACAGGACACUUAUGAUAACACAACAUGCAAAUAGCCUACUCCAGCGCCAGUAGCUGGCUGACCUCCCAGGUGGCAGUAUUGCACCUUAACGCUGACACCUGUCAAACAAGACGACGCAGCGCGUGGCCGCGCUACUCAGAGAAAACCAUGUUCAAUACUAUACAGACAGGAGUUUCGAAGAAGACAGAAAGUCAGAGUCUCAGGGAAGCUGUGACCUGAAUAAGUGAAAAUGCAUGCACCCUUAUCAUCUCCAUAGCCACAGAGUCUGGAGCUACCCCAUCACCGAUCAGCCUGUUCUCCUGUCGUGUGCCCUGCCCUUUUGUGUGUGACUAUCUUCCUGCCUCGUCCUUUUGUUCCCAAUUUUGUUAAUAAACGUAUCCCUAUUCAUUCUGCAUCUGGGUCCUCCCUUGCCAAACCGUGACACAGGUGUGCUGUCUGAGAUACUUGCAUACCCACAGUUAACAUGGAUGUCAGGCAGAUAUAUA
Molecule: long non-coding RNA, 521 nt
Organism: Sinocyclocheilus anshuiensis
Lineage: Eukaryota; Metazoa; Chordata; Actinopteri; Cypriniformes; Cyprinidae
Exons: 3
Source: RefSeq, a predicted model, not a curated record